RNAcentral lists this long non-coding RNA (211 nucleotides) under Elaeis guineensis (African oil palm). RNAcentral's name for it is "long non-coding RNA (EGUI_LNC029003)". The record is from RNAcentral. Lineage: Eukaryota; Viridiplantae; Streptophyta; Magnoliopsida; Arecales; Arecaceae.
UUCGGGCUGACCUUGAUCUCGUUGGACUCCGUUCGUCGUCGCGGACCUUGCUAUGGGCUCAAUGUGGAUCGAAUCUCGAGGCAUCAAAUCCUAAUACAAAUAAGAGUAUACUCAAAACUAAACCCUAUACAAAGAUAUGCAAAUUUCCACAAGGUGAAAGUCUUUGUGCACCGCGUGUGGUGCAAUAAUAUUGAUGUAGAGCGUACCUUCC